UAGCAUACAGCUGCUAAAAGGUACUGGAAGGGUAAAGAUUAGACGUAAUUUACAAAUCUGUUUAACUUUCUGGCACCAGUUCAUUUAAAAAUAAAUAAAAUAUCCACCUGAGUACCCCUUUAAGGAAGACCUUUUAGAUCCUUGGUGGCCUAGAACUGUCCAUAACCAGUGUGCCUCCAACUGUUGCAAAUCUACAACUCCCAGCAUGCCCGGAGAGCCAAAGGCUCCUAAGAGGGAAGCCUUGAUUGACCUUUCAGGGACAGUGUGGAUCCUCUGGAGAAGGCAGACAAGCCUUUGGCUGUUCUGGCAUGCUGGGAGUUGUAGUUUUGUAACAGCUGGAGGCACCCUGGUUGGGAAACGCCAGCCUCUAAGUUGGCCACACUUAUAGGUCUAGUGCCACACUUUUAUUACAAACUGAGUCCCUGUAAAUUGGCAUGGAGGCGGAGCCACAGUGGCAUUUAAUUACGCUGCCCAUGCCAACUGAGUUUUGCGUGAAGUGCCCAACAUUCAGGGUGUCAGUCAUCAAGCCUGAGUUGGCAGAAGCAGGGUCUGGGCAGUGUGACUGCAUGCUCCGCCUCUAUGCCAAUUUACCAGGUGUCAGGAGGGAGGGAUUUAAGGUUUGCCGAGAAGUUUUGCCCAAUCCUAAACUUUUUAGUCAGAUCACUAUGCACUACACCAGAUGCACUACAUCAGAUAAUGGGGUACCCUGGUUAGGAAACACUGGGUUACUCAGUAAAAAAAAGCAAUAUAAGGGAUAUAGGUCGGCCUUAAAUACAUAGCAAGGAAAAUACAGCAGAACUGACACCAUAGCGGCCAAAUAGGUUUUGGGUCCAGUGAAAUCUAUUUACAUAUAUAGAGGAAAUCACCAGUCACUUGUUCUAAUACCAAAAAUUACUAGUGAAAAUGCUGCCCGUGCCGGGUAUAGAAGCCGCAGCUACUGAUCCCAGGUCACAAUGUCCUUCAUGUCGUCCUUUCUAUGGGUUGUGUUAGUAUCGUAGAUCUGUGCCCUCUCAUGAGCGCCCCCUAGUGGGUCCCAGAUGGACAUGACUGUUUUGUGCCUAGAGUCACCUUUUUAGCCAGCAGUAGUAAUUAUUAAAGGGAUUGUUACUACUUUCUUAUUAGCAUCGAUCCUAUAUCCUAUAUUUUUCCUGUAGUUGGACGAGAAUGUAGAGCGGAGUUAUAAUUGUUAUAAUAGUUUUCUGCUGUUUAAAUAAAAGCAUUGUCAUUCUAA
Molecule: long non-coding RNA, 1231 nt
Organism: Hyla sarda
Lineage: Eukaryota; Metazoa; Chordata; Amphibia; Anura; Hylidae
Exons: 2
Source: RefSeq, a predicted model, not a curated record